GAUCAUGGCUCAGGAUGAACGCUAGCUACAGGCUUAACACAUGCAAGUCGAGGGGGCAGCAUGUUGGUUGCUUGCAACCAACGAUGGCGACCGGCGCACGGGUGAGUAACGCGUAUCCAACCUUCCGCAUACUCGGGAAUAGCCUUUCGAAAGAAAGAUUAAUGCCCGAUGGUUUCCCGAAUCCGCAUGAGAACGGGAAUAAAGAUUCAUCGGUAUGCGAUGGGGACGCGUCCCAUUAG
Molecule: ribosomal RNA, 239 nt
Filed under: uncultured bacterium
Lineage: Bacteria
Description: partial 16S ribosomal RNA
Rfam family: Bacterial small subunit ribosomal RNA
Source: RNAcentral